UCCCCAACAAGGUCAUUGUCCACGUCGGUCUAGGGGAUGGGGCGUGAGAGAAACAGCAGAGGACUGCCAGUUUGAGGAGGUGGAGAGGAACCAGCAGGACGCAAGCCUGAGAGCCGGCCUCCUCGUCCUGCAGCACAAGCCCCAGGGCCACGCAGGGGCGGCUGGCCCGAGGUCACACUGACCCUGACGUCAGGACAAGCACUGGGGCCAGGCCUCUCGGUCCAGGAAUCUCUCCACCCUCUGCCACCUCUCCACAGUAAUUCACUUCACUAAAGGAAGAUGUGCUUCUUCGCUGGAAAAGCAUGAACUACCAGCCAAUUCCUAUGUUGGCAUCAGGAAAAUGGGGAGAGAAUUCUGUGAAGACACAACCUCGCUCCAGCUGAUGAGGUGAAGGCGUCUAUUCAUUUGGCCUGUGGCCACUGAGAUACAAGAAUAGUGCUGAGAUUUGAGUUGAAUAAAUGUUUUCAAUUGAAA
Long non-coding RNA from Homo sapiens (human), 474 nucleotides. RefSeq lists it as uncharacterized. The transcript has 2 exons. The record is from RefSeq and is a predicted model, not a curated record. NCBI's taxonomy places the organism in Eukaryota, Metazoa, Chordata, Mammalia, Primates, Hominidae.